GGGGCUAUGGCGCAGUUGGUAGCGCGCUUCGUUCGCAUCGAAGAGGUCAGGAGUUCGAAUCUCCUUAGCUCCACCCACA
Molecule: transfer RNA, 79 nt
Filed under: Leifsonia xyli subsp. xyli str. CTCB07
Lineage: Bacteria; Bacillati; Actinomycetota; Actinomycetes; Micrococcales; Microbacteriaceae
Description: tRNA-Ala
Rfam family: tRNA
About the family: Transfer RNA (tRNA) molecules are approximately 80 nucleotides in length. Their secondary structure includes four short double-helical elements and three loops (D, anti-codon, and T loops). Further hydrogen bonds mediate the characteristic L-shaped molecular structure. tRNAs have two regions of fundamental functional importance: the anti-codon, which is responsible for specific mRNA codon recognition, and the 3' end, to which the tRNAs corresponding amino acid is attached (by aminoacyl-tRNA synthetases). tRNAs cope with the degeneracy of the genetic code in two manners: having more than one tRNA (with a specific anti-codon) for a particular amino acid; and 'wobble' base-pairing, i.e. permitting non-standard base-pairing at the 3rd anti-codon position.
Source: RNAcentral